Molecule: ribosomal RNA, 468 nt
Filed under: uncultured bacterium
Lineage: Bacteria
Description: partial 16S ribosomal RNA
Rfam family: Bacterial small subunit ribosomal RNA (bases 20-329)
Source: RNAcentral
GAUGAACGCUGGCGGCGUGCUUAACACAUGCAAGUCGAACGGUGAAGGCGGAGCUUGCUCUGCUGGAUCAGUGGCGAACGGGUGAGUAACACGUGAGCAAUCUGCCCCUGACUCUGGGAUAAGCGCUGGAAACGGCGUCUAAUACUGGAUACGAGCUGCGAAGGCAUCUUCAGCAGCUGGAAAGAAUUUCGGUCAGGGAUGAGCUCGCGGCCUAUCAGCUUGUUGGUGAGGUAAUGGCUCACCAAGGCGUCGACGGGUAGCCGGCCUGAGAGGGUGACCGGCAACAGUGGGAAGGAGACACGGCCGAGACUCAGCGGGGGGGAAGAGGGGGGAAAUAUGGCAGAGGGGGGGGAGGCGGAAGCAAGAAACGCGGGGGGGGGGAGGCGGCCCUGGGGUUGGAAAACCUUUUUAGGAGGGGAAGAAGAGAAAGGGGGGGACCUGGAAAAAAAGGGGCGGCCAAAGAAGGUC